RNAcentral lists this microRNA precursor (78 nucleotides) under Chelonia mydas (Green sea turtle). RNAcentral's name for it is "mir-17 microRNA precursor family". It matches the Rfam family "mir-17 microRNA precursor family". From Rfam's summary of the family: This family represents the microRNA (miRNA) precursor mir-17, family, which includes mir-20, mir-91, and mir-103. miRNAs are transcribed as ~70nt precursors (modelled here) and subsequently processed by the Dicer enzyme to give a ~22nt product. In this case the mature sequence comes from the 3' arm of the precursor. Lineage: Eukaryota; Metazoa; Chordata; Testudines; Cheloniidae. The record is from Rfam by way of RNAcentral.
AGGGUAAUGUCAAAGUGCUUACAGUGCAGGUAGUGAUAUAAGAACCUACUGCAGUGAAGGCACUUGUAGCAUUAUAUU